RNA transcript from Capra hircus (goat), 9482 nucleotides. It is a transcript of the gene named family with sequence similarity 210 member A, with no coding region annotated. The record is from RefSeq and is a predicted model, not a curated record. The transcript has 5 exons. NCBI's taxonomy places the organism in Eukaryota, Metazoa, Chordata, Mammalia, Artiodactyla, Bovidae.
CAGCUCGAAGGGACGCAAGAACCUGGUUGGAGGGACGGCGUGGCGGGCGGGUGGGAGGCUGGUCGCCUGAGCCCACGGCUUCCGGCGGCCAGACCCACGUUCUGCUGGUCGCUCUGAGGAGUGACGUGGAGGGGUCUCCUAGCGGCUCCUCCGGGCUGAGGUCCUGAGUGUCUAUAGAAGCUGAGGUCCAUCAAUCUCCAUUCUUCAAAAUGCAAUGGAAUGUACCAAAGACUGUAUGCCGACUGGCACAUAGGACGUGCAUGGAACCACAUAAAGCCGGUCUUUUGGGACACUGUCAAAACAUAAAGGGACCAUUACUUUUGUAUACCUUGGAAUCCAGAGUGGUUGUGGUACAAGGCCCUCAGAAACGGUCGCUGCACUUACCCACUGCCCAGUGUGUUGCAAAGGAAAGGAAGCCAUUCAUUGCUGUUCCAUCCCAACCAGGGGUCUUUCACCAUAAACAGUGGGAGCAGGAUAUCUUAUCCAAGAGAGUUCUGUCAUCCAGUGCCACAUCCUCAGGACCUCCCUCCGAAAAAAAGGAAGAACCUGAUCCGUUACAAGACAGAUCUAUUAGUCUUUAUCAGCGAUUUAAGAAAACAUUUAGACAAUAUGGAAAAGUUUUGAUUCCAGUGCAUCUAAUAACUUCUGCUGUUUGGUUUGGAACAUUUUAUUAUGCAGCCAUAAAAGGAGUGAAUGUCGUUCCUUUUCUAGAACUUAUUGGGUUACCUGACAGUAUAGUGAACAUUCUGAAAAAUUCCCAGAGUGGAAAUGCACUAACAGCAUAUGCCCUGUUUAAGAUUGCAACGCCUGCACGGUACACUGUAACUCUCGGGGGGACCUCCUUCACUGUGAAGUAUCUGCGUAGCCGGGGCUACAUGUCGACACCACCCCCCGUGAAGGAGUACCUGCAAGACAAGAUGGAGGAAACAAAGGAGCUCCUCACAGAGAAGAUGGAAGAGACAAAGGACAGACUCACUGAAAAACUGCAAGAAACCAAAGGAAAGGUUUCUCUUAAGAAAAAAGUGGAAUAGGGUGCCUUAUAUACCAGGUUUUAGACAGUUCUUGCACUUGAACCUUUGGAGACUAUGGACAAAGGGCAUGUUUUCCAAUGAGGAUAAAUCGUGGGUCUAAGAAGCUGCGUUUCUACCUUUGGUUCAGUCCAGUGGAGAUCUGCUGCCAUCCAGUUUCAUAACUCUGUUGUGUUUGUUCAAUUACAGAACGUGAGACACUGGGGAAUGCUUUGAAAUUCUCUAGUAAAAUGUUCUCUGAAGGUGUAAGAAGUUCUUGUAUCAUAUUUGGUAUCAGGAAUACUUGAUCUUGUCAAACACUGCUGCUCUCAUCUUGCCAACCUAGUCCUUAAGGGAAGCUACAGAGAGCUGAAAGGGGGACCCCUGGAGUGUCUACGUGGAGUGUUUGUAGCAGGCCAGUAGCACAUAGUGGGCACUGAGUUAAAUUAUCCAGAGUGUGUAUGUGUGGUAAGUAUCACGACCCAUUUCAUUUACAGUAAGCCUUAAACUUGCUGUGUCUGGUGUGUGCAUCUGUUUUUAAAUAGGAUUACUAACAAGGUAAAGAAGGAGUCAUAGCUGAGACUUAAUGUCUACAAAAUGGAAAAAAGUGCUCAAAAAAUUAACAAUUGAAAUGAAAAACAGAUUAGGUUAAAAAAAGAGAGACCAUUCAAGAAAAAUAGUGAAACCAACCUUUUUAAGUAUCAAAACAAUUUUUUUUUUUUUUUACUGACUCAACAUUUUGCAUGUAGCAGAGUGCUGUUUGCAGCUCCCAACAAAGGGAAAAGAGUACAUGUAUUAAGGUCACCUUCCUGCCACUAGUGAAAAUAAUAAGACUAUGCCUUCAAAUACAGUCUUUAGUUUGUUGUGGAAUCUACCUUCUAUUUAUUUACAGACAGAAGAUGUUACUGUAGUCCUUUAUGCUCCAGUAAGAUAUGGAGCUGGCUGUCUCAUUUCAGUGAUAUUAGGAGGUAAUUCCAGGAAUUUUACAAAGAUCUUAACAGUUUGGGUAGAAGAGGUAUUUAAAGAAAACAGACAAGUCGUAUAUUAGAUACAUCUAGCUCUUUCGAAGUAAAAUGUCAAACACUAUAAUGAAAGAUCUUUAUGAUGUUUUAAGUAACAGAUUAGUUAUUAACUGUUAUGUGCAAGUAUCAUCAUGGAAAGUCAGAGAAAGUGUCUGUUCCAAGGCCACUGUGAGUGGAUCGCUGAAGGUUCUUUUUCAAAGAUGUCUCCCAAAGUUUCAGUGAGAGGGCUGACUGAGUUGCUAGUCCAUUUGCUUAGCAGUUGGCAGCUCUGUUGUUUCACAAACGAUCCAAUGAACAGAAGUCAGUCCAAGAAAGCCGGAGACUGGGGGGUGGGUCUGGGGUCCAGUGCAGCCCCCCAGGUGCAGUGGGAGCUCCCUAUGUAUGGGGGGGGAGGGGGGGAAGGAGCCCAUUCCCCACCAAGGAGGUAGGUGUUGGGCUCUGUCACAUCUUGUGCUGAGUGUAGCCUAAGUGGAAAAUGGCAGGUGCAGUCCUUGGCAUUUCUGUCCCUGCCCAGGCAGCAAGCAGUACCUGGGCUUUGGAGAACCCAUGUGGGGUUCCUUGGCCUCCAGUGCUUCAGCUCCAGCCUGAUGGACAGCUCCUGAACCCCCAGCAGCUUCCCAGCCUCUUGUCUGCUUUCGGCCUGGGGCUUCUGUAAUCUUCAGGGUCUUCCACUGUAUAGCCAGCCAGGGCUGUAGGAAGGGUCCCCCAGGCCCCGAUGAUGGAGAUUUCAGCGUCCCGCCUGCUGCCCUCCAGCACAGCCUCUCAUUCCUCAGGGCUACGCAGAGCCCUGCUGCCUAGAUGGACACCAGUGGGUCCUCUCUGACCGUCUGCUGCCACCCCUGGAGCAGCUCGAGGUAACCUCCCUGCACCUGGACCUUAGACCCAGCCAACCAGGCAACCACACGUAGAAAUGGGUUUACUGAACCCAAACCAGUAGGAAUCAAGCCCAACUGUGAGCAAAGUUUAUAUACUGGUCUUACUUCACUGAGGGAUAGAAGUUUGGGGGAAAAGUCUUUAAAUUUUCUUAAAUAACUGCUAAGUAAGAAAUAAAAUGUAUUCAAUAGCAUAAUGUGGUUUGUCAGUGACUGCUAUUUUAAGAGAAAGAAAUCCUUUUCUUACAGCUAUUUUCCUCCUCAUAGUUUCCUAAUCCCCUUUCCAAAAUAAUCUAAAAAAUAAUUCAGAAUCUGAAAUGAGUGUUUGUUAUAGGAGCUCCUUGGCAGUCUAGUGAUUAAGACUCCAUGCUUUCACUGCCGUGGCCCAGUUUUAAGCCCUGCUCAGAAAACGAAGAUCCUGCAACCCACAUGGCGUGACCAAAACAAAAAUGGGUUUAUAACUAGAGUUUUGGGCCCAGGCAGUUAUUUAAAUGGUACUUUAAGAUUUCAGUUUCCAAAGUUCAUUUACUAAUGUAUAGAAAUGCAAAAAUAUAUUAAUUUUUUAUAUUAAAUUUUUUUCCUGCAAUGAAGCUAAACUCAGUUAUACGCAUUUCAGUAUUCUUGCUUGGAGAAGUCUAUGGACAGAGGCGUCUGGUGGGUCACAGUUCAUGUAUCGCAAAAAGUUGGACACGACUGAACAACUAACAUUUACACACACUUUUGGUGGAUUGUAUGAGGCUUUGUACAUUCUCAAUCAUGUGAUCUGUGAAUCUAUGUACUUAUUUGGAGCUUAGAGUUAUCAUUCUCAUCUCUCAGUGAAGGAGUCUUGAAUUCCUUUUGCUCCGUCAUCAUGAACUGAAAACUGAUACAAAAGACCUCAGCCUCUGAGGGCAUCUGCUGAACAGUUCCUAUUAGUUUCAUUCACAUUUUCUGCUGAGCUGACUCCAGUUUGUAACAGCGUCCAGAAACCUGAAGUGACACCUGUCAGGUGACAAUCCCUGAAUUUCCUGUGUAGAAACCAGAACUGUAUGAUGUGAUCUGCCAGUGUUGUUUAUAGCAGAAUAUAAUUUCUGAAAAGUCAGAAUAAGAACCAAAUAAGCAUCAGAAACAUUUCUGAGACGAUUGUUUAAGUACUUACAGUGCCCACCACCCCCGGCCAAUAUAUAUUGUGAAAAGAUUUUUUGUGUAAAAAAAACAGGAGACACAUGUAUCACUGAUUAUUUUUAAUGAUUUUAAGCUGCAGUUCAACCACAGCAUUAAAAACAGUCAGAAAGGGCUGAUUUCAUAACACACAGCACUAGAGCAUCAUUGUCCUUUAGGGAUUGUGAUUACAGACCUUGGGUCUAGGAACUGUAUCAUCACUCAGACAGGCAGGUACAAAACAGCUGGAAAUCUUUGUGUAUAACUGGGAAUUCUGUUGAACAGUAAGCACAAAUGGCUGUUUAAAAAAAAGACCAUGACUUUGGAUUAUCAUAGGUCAUAUGAACCUAUGAUAUUGAACCUAAUGACUAUUGAAAAGUUCAGUUACAACUGUACUUGUCAUUAUAAAGCAGCCUAGUGAAAGUGAACUAAAUGCUAUUAAUAGUAUUACACAUAUUUAAAAAUAGCUUUAAUAUCAGAAAGUGUGAUUUUUGAAAACCAUGAAAUGAAGAAUAGUAAUACAGGAGGCAAACACAUUAAAAUGAACCAGCAUCAUUAACAGUAAAGUUUAAGCCUCGAUUAGUCUUGUAGAAAGGAAGCCAUGCUGUGUACCAGGUUUAGUGCUUCAGACAACCUGCUCAGCAUCCUGUGGGGGGAAGAGGUUCUGACAGGGAGGAGCCUCCACCCUUGACUUGAGCCACCAGGCCCCUGCUGCUAGCAGUGAGCAGACAGCAGGGGCUCUGAGUGCAAGAAACACAGACCCUCAUCAUCUUGUGGGCCCUGAAAAUGACAGCUGAAGGACUGACCUCUGGUCUGUUAGCAUCAAGAGCUGCAGAGGCACUUUCAGUACUUAUUUUGUGGAUGAGAGUAUGAUUCUGUCAUGAUUUUCAAAUCAGAACACCUACUGCAGAACAAAAAACGAUUAACUAGAAUUAACAUCCUCUGAUGACAGAAUAAACUGGAAGUAUGGAUCAGAUGGGCAGUAUUUCACCAGUGACCUCCAUGGACAGAACUUGGAAGGAGGCCCACACCCAGAGUUUCAUCAGUGGUUUUAGUGAAUGUUGUCACUUCUUUCUUUUUUGACUAUUAGAAUGUUUGAAGAUAAACACAAAGGUCACUGUCAGAAUCGCGAGAGCUGGAAGUAGAUGCUUUGUCGGGGAAUGAUGUGGUCCCUGGUCAAUGGCAAAGCCUAGUUUGGUUCCUAGUUUGGUAGUUAUCACCAGGAGAUAUCAAAGGGAGGGGAUUUAAGACUUCACUCAGCUGGCUGACUGCCAGUCUGCUCAUUAUAACCUGUAACACAUUUUUCUGAGAAUGGGGUCUUCUCAAGUGGACUGGUUUGUUAGUUAUUUUUCUGCAAACACUACUGCUCAUUCAAUGGUUCACAGCUUCCAUUUGUCAAAAAGGCAGAGACAGAUGGUCACAAAUGCAUCUAGACUGCACAAUCCUUGCUGCAGGCCACUGUGCUCACUCUAACAAGUUUUGCAAAGUUUUGCAAUUUUAAUGAAAAGUGCGUUCUUCACUGGGUCUGCCCUCUUCAUUCUACAACGUAAGAUAGAAUAUGUUUUCAUAAAGCAAAUUGAAAAAUCAGCAUUUUUUCUGACUAUAAUACUGGUCCAACUGAACUUGAAGGGAUUAAAAAGAAACAUCUGGUGGCCCCAGAAGGCUACAGAAUUUUAAAAACUUAUUUCUUAAAAAGUGUUUUCACAGCAAAGAUGCAACUCUGAUUGCUGUACAUAGGCUGUGCUUGCUUGUUCACACUUAUUUCCCUUGUGUUAUAAUAUUGAUAUUUAAUAAGAAAAUAAAUGACAUAGACUUUAUCUGUAUGCAUCCACUAGCAGAUUUCCUUACAAAAGAGGACAAAGCACAUAGGCAUUCACAAAUUCUAUGCCAUUUCUGUUAAAUCUGGUACCUAUACAUUAUAUUGCAGUACCGUUUUUGUUCCACCCAUUGGGUAGGAUAUGUGCAUAAUCUGGUCAAGUUAUAUAUACAGCACCUAACAAAAUGAAUGCAUGACAGACACUGAAAGCACCGUUAUGAGUGAGGCAUGACGCGCAUCAGCUGAAGUUAGAAUAUGUGGCACUUCAGUUAGUAAAACUGCUGCACUCUGAGCUCUGUGGAAGGAUGUGAGUCCUCAUCACCUGCAUCUCUGGACAGUUCUCACCCAGCACCGUGCACACUGAGGACAGCACCGCUCACAAGGCCUCCCUCCCUGAGCCACCCUGAAGGCAGUAGCAGCAAAUGACUGUCAAACCCUGGCCGUGAAUACAGACCCAAAAUGCAGCACUUGGGGAGUAAAAUAACCUAAGCUGAGAUCCUGAUUUCUAAGGAAUCCACGCAAGGCAGGUGAGCUGCUGGGACCCUUUCAUGGUUGGGGUGAGAGUAGGUGUUUGAUCUGCCUUUGUUGGGCCCCUUUAGACACAGUGUCCUCUCACUGGGGGGACUUGCCAAUGCAUCUCCACUUCACCAAAGCCAUGGUAACUAAGGUGACCAUGCAGAAGGGGAGCCUGGUCCCUGCUCUUCCACCAGGAAGUGGGGAGCAGGUGUCUGUCACUGCAAGGCCACACACCCAGCACUAGUAUCCUUCCCAGUUUUUUCCUCAUAGACACUGCUGAGCUUUGGAAAUUUUAAGAAAAAUGCAGGGUACACCUACAUGUCAUUGGCAACAGCAGACCUCAAGUAGCCUCAGCACCACAAACAAGGCUUGGGGAGCAGCCCCCAGCUGCCACACCUCAGCCAGGCUGACCCACACAUAAGCCAUGUGGCCAGCAGCGGACGGAGGCUGCUUUGGAGGGGUGUACGGCCCCAGCCAGCGUCUGCAGGGACACCCCCGCCAGAGAGCAGGCGGAGGUAAGGCCCGGGCCUGCCUGUCAGGAUGCAGCUUCUUGCUCUGAGGAAGGCAAAGACUGGAAUGGAUUCUGCCAGUUCUGAGUGCUUCUGCAAAGUGCUGGCCUUUGAGCCCUUCUCCUCCUUAAGACAAUAAAAUACAGAGAAAGAGCAGUAACUCGAAGUUGGAGAUGUGCUUAUCUGCACAUAGAUCCCUGUGCUGGGGUGAAAGGCCUGCAGUUUCCUGCUGGCCCCUUCCUACUAGCCCCUGUCCUCUCCCAGCUGCAGUUAGUAGAUUUAAGUGUCCUUCUGAGGACAAACCUACCUGUGUUUUGCAUGUUUUCCUCUGCUGACUGAGCUGUGUAUCCAAGUGUAUUUUUGGUGUGGACAGAGAGUAGGCCUGUCAAGCUUUUUAAACACUGACAGAAGAACUCUGUAAAUGCGUGGCUUGUUUAGCAAAAUCUCUUUUGUAGGAAAGGACAACCUCAGUGUCUGAGGAACACCAGGCUUCCUGAAAAAGUCAACAGAUGCGUGAAUCUUCCUGUAGAUGGGCCUGCUCAAGGCUCACACCCAGGGUGUUGCUGAGAUUGUGGAUCCCAGCUUCCACCCACUGCUCCCUGGUCACCUGACUCUGGCGUCUAAGCUGGACCCUCUGGCGUCUAAGCUGGACCCUCAGGCUCCACUGACCAGGCUGCAGCUUCAGAGCCAUGUCUCCUUUCCAUCCCAGGCCACACAACCUUCGACAGAGUAGAGACCUAAAUCACCUUAUCCCUGUAUGGAAAGGAGACUGACCUAAUUCAAUUUAGGACCUCAUCUUUUAAACUAAUUCAUUACAGAGGCCCAGCCUCAGAGACCAUCCAAGUCAUGCUUUGUAUAGUUACAGAUGCGGACAUCUCUAACUGUUAACAUUAGAGGCAGUUAUCUAAUAGGGUGGCUGAAAGGGAGCAACCUCUGUUUUAAAGGACAAUUAAAGUUAUUUGAAUAAUUGUUUUGCCAGUACUAAGGACAGAUGCCAGAUGUUCAGGUACUUGCAGAAAUUUACCAAUUUCUGAGCAUAAAUCACCAUUUUGAGCUAGAACCAUAGAAUGGGCUCACCCACUCUCCCAAAAGUGCUGGCGAAGUUUGGAAUGACAUCAUCAGCCAACCUUGUUCUGCACCUGGGAGGAUGCCUGACUGAAUCUGCUGCAGAUGAGGAGGACAAGCACUUCCCCAUAGUCACCACCAACUCGAGGUGAAGCCUCCAUCAAGCAAGCAUAGGCUCGUGGUCAAGGCUGUCUGACCUCGUAGGGGGAUGAAGGGGUCCCCUGGUCAGGUCCCCCAAAGCUCUGCCUGUCCUAGAGCUCCCACUGUGGCCCUCAGCAGGCACACUGCCCAACAGGAUCUGAAGCAUGAGUGACAACCGCUGACCAUUUUCUCCUAAGACAGACCAACUACUUGUGUGGAUGUCACUGUGAAGUGGACGAGGAUUCCAAUCCUCCAGACAAAACCUGGGACUUACCGGCCAAGAAGGGCCUCAGAGAGGGCAGCAGACAGGACCUGAGGUUGACAGUGCUCUGCCAGCGGCACAAGGGCACCUUGCCAGACAACCACACCCAAGACGACGACACUCAGAACUGAGUGGACACUUGGACCUGCAGGUCAGAUACCCUGCGAGACCAGGUAGGGGCUGCACAGAAGCCCCCACCUGGGUGCAGGAAAGGCAGAUGUUCUGCAGAAGGAACUUACUGUGUUAGAGGAGGAUGACUGUUACAAGAUUUAAGUCUUCUGGCUGAGUUUAGCUGCAGGUUGUGCUUUUCAAAACCCAAGGCUCUGAGUCACUCCCUGCCCAGCUCUGGUCUCCAGGAGAGCCUGAGUGACCCAGAAGCAUGGCUGGUUCUGAACCCUGCAUCUCUCCCAGGCACUGGUUCCCAUAUGGGGCUGGUUCCCUUCCUCAACUCAGGAGUUUCUACACACAGAGAACCCACAGCUAGCAUCAGGCAACACCAGGGCAGCGAGCACAUCAGAGCCACUGCCGAGUCUCAAUGAUCAGCCAUCCAGGCCUGAACUCAACUAUCCAUGGAAAGACAGACCACAGGAAACACUGAAAUCACAUGUUUCAACAGUAUAAAAAUAACCACCUUGCAUUUUAAACAAUUUAUUGCAUAAAAUAGUGUAUUAUCUGAGUAUAUUUCAUGCUACAGUGAAAAAAAAAAAUCAAUUACUGCAGAACCUGCCCUGCUGGAGGACUAGGGCAGCACUGUGUGAUGUGUGAAUGCAGGCGUGAAACACACAGCCUGAGGCUGGAGGGACUUGACCCACCAGGGAUGCGGGCGUUUCCUCUGCUCCAUCCAGUCUGCAGGUGCCCUGGUGAUGCACGCCCUGUGAUGACUCUCUUCACAAGUGUAAGUUAGCAGUAUGUUAGGCUACCUCCCCAAACACCCUUUCCUGCACAGUUAUGGGGGGAACAUUAUUAUGGGGCCUAAUAAUGAUGCACAGGUGAGAAAACAACCUACAGGACUUCACAUAAAGCUUCCUCAUGUUAAACAGUGAAGAUGGUGCAAUUUUUAAAAACACAGCAUCACAACACAGAUUUAACUCCUUGCAUUCAUCUGACUUCACCUUAUACCUUGGCACACAAA